AGAGCCUACGGGACGCAGCAGUGAGGAAUAUUGGUCAAUGGGCGGGAGCCUGAACCAGCCAAGUCGCGUGAAGGAAGAAGGUACUUAGUAUUGUAAAAUUCUUUUGUCGGGGAACAAAGGCGGAGACGCGUCUCCGGAUGAGUGUACCCGAAGAAAAAGCAUCGGCUAACUCCGUGCCAGCAGCCGCGGUAAUACGGAGGAAGAGAGCGAUAUCCGGAUUUAUUGGGUUUAAAGUGUGCGCAGGAGGGAGAUAAA
RNAcentral lists this ribosomal RNA (255 nucleotides) under uncultured bacterium. RNAcentral's name for it is "partial 16S ribosomal RNA". It matches the Rfam family "Bacterial small subunit ribosomal RNA", at positions 333 to 586 of the family's 1533-position model. The record is from RNAcentral.